GCCAGUGUGACGUAUAAUCUAGUGGACGGGACGCUCCUUCAACAACAACAGCUAGUCAGACACCUCCGUAGCUUUCUAUCAAACAUAGCUACAACAUUCACCCGCUUUACACUGUUUUGGUGUAUAUUAGUCGCUGUGUAUUAAACACACUUCUGUCGUAUGUACUUGUUAGCCCAUUUAAUUAUAUAUUCACGUUGUUUGUCAGCUAGCUGGUUUGCUAAGUUAGCUUAGAACUAAGCUAGUCGCUAAUGCUAGCUAGCUAACAUCUCCGACCAUGAGUUCACUAAGCUACUCUCCUCCUACUAAAGAAGAGGUCUGCUGGAUGGAGAAAGAAGCUCUCGUUAAAGAGGAAGAGAAAGAUGUUACAAUACAAAAACAAGUAGAGACUGUUACCGUGAAAGAAGAAGAGAAAGACGUUACAGUGAAAGAAGAGGAAGACGCGUUCAGAGUGAAAGAGGAGGAGGAUGUUACAAUAAAAGAAGAGGAGGAAGAGAAAGAGGAGAGAGCAGUUUUUGGAGUGAAAGAGGAGGCGGGGGAGAUGACUGUCACAUUGAAAGAGGAGAAGGAGGAAGAAGAGGAGGUUGGAGAUCUGUUUAACACCAGUAGCUAGCUAACAGCCAUGGAGGAGGGUGAAAGGAUAGCAGCCCCAACUGUCAGUGAGAGAGGAGGCUAUUCUGGAUAGGGCAGGUACUUUUGUGUAGUUCCUGUCCCUAGAAGUGAGGACGGAGAUAAUAGUAACAUAAUAUUCAGUGUGGUGUAAUUUGACUAUAAUGAAGUGUGUUUCUUGUGAGGUUUUCUGUCCUCAGAUAAAGAGCGCUAUGAAAGCCAGUCUACAUAUGAAGAGGUCCCAAUGAAGAGCAGUGGUUCUCAGUCCUGGGGACUCAAAGAGGCACAUUGUUGUUUUUGCCUCAGCACUGCACAGCUGAUUCAAAUGAUCAACUCAUCAUCAAGCUUCAAGUGAUACCUUGUAACUGGAGAUUCCUUCAAAACGAUUGCCUACAGUUACCGUGUAGGGCACUGCAAGGUUGGGUGACCAGGGUCAUCUGGGACUGCCUCCUGGAGGAAUUCAGGUGUGUGAAGGCUACCUGUGUCCUGCGUAACUUCAUGAGGAUGGACACGAGGACCAGGAGGGGAUCUGCAGCUGGCCGCCGUGUCCCAGAGGAGAAGUCUACUGCUCUGCAGGAUGUUUCAAGGAUGGGGUCCAACAACGCAGCAAGAGAGGCAAUCCGUGUGCAGGAGAUCUUCACCUCCUACUUCUUCAAAGAGGGUGCUGUUCCCUGGCAACACCAUAGACUACACUAUGCACAACCAAAGUCUCUUCAAAGAGGUUGCUGUUCCCUAGCAACACCAUAGACUACACUAUGCACAACCAAAGGCUCUUUUAAGAGGGUGCUGUUCCCUGGCAACACCAUAGACUACACUAUGCUCAACCAAAGGCUCUUUUAAGAGGGUGCUGUUCCCUGGCAACACCAUAGACUACACUAUGCACAACCAAAGGCUCUUCAAAGAGGUUGCUGUUCCCUAGCAACACCAUAGACUACACUAUGCACAACCAAAGGCUCUUUUAAGAGCCAUCCACAUUGCAAUAGGAGUAUUCUUCCAUUUACUUAGCUAUGUCAACUGCAGUUAUUCAAUUCAUAGUUUCUCUCCCUUUGAUUUCUACUUCUCAGGUGAGGGUGCUGUUUAGGUAAGGGUGUGAUGUCUGUGCCAAAACAAAACAGGCUGUUUUAAAUCACCCAUAUUGAAAAAAUGUAGAACAAUUAGACACCCUAUAACCCACACCUACACACUCAUGUAACAAUCUGAUUGAUGGAUUGUGUUGUGCAGUAAGCAGGCUCAGGUGUAUAACUGUGGCUCCUUCCACCUUCAACGAAUAGGCAAGAGGGCCAACCAUGGAGAAUAUCCUCUAGGUUAUAUCAGCUGUGUCGGUGAACCCCUCCUGCAUCUGAACUGGCUACAUAGAGGGCACAGCAUGAUCAGAGAUAUGUUUUGAUGUGAGAGGAUGCCAACCCCCAGUCCCAUCAUCGCCACCUCACCUGCUUUUAAGAUAACCUGUGGGCCGACUAGAGACACUGCUAUGUAAUUGUGAUGAACUGAGAGAAUAUUUAUGUAGCACUGUGAUUCAUUAAUCAUGUGCUGCCUUCCCUGCUCCUAUGUGCUUACCUCUUUCCCUUUCUGUCUUUUACACCUCUUUCUCACCUCCUCUUUCUUCCUCUGUUUUUAUAAUGCACAACAGAUGUGCAUUGAAGUACAGAUUGAACUUGUAUUUAUAACACUUGGAUAAUGAGCUUUUCAAUAAAGCGUUUCACAUUC
Long non-coding RNA from Salvelinus fontinalis (brook trout), 2313 nucleotides. RefSeq lists it as uncharacterized. Lineage: Eukaryota; Metazoa; Chordata; Actinopteri; Salmoniformes; Salmonidae. The record is from RefSeq and is a predicted model, not a curated record. The transcript is spliced from 5 exons.